This 253-nucleotide ribosomal RNA is filed under the name uncultured Eubacteriales bacterium. RNAcentral describes it as "uncultured Clostridiales bacterium partial 16S ribosomal RNA". It matches the Rfam family "Bacterial small subunit ribosomal RNA", at positions 524 to 776 of the family's 1533-position model. The record is from RNAcentral. Lineage: Bacteria; Bacillati; Bacillota; Clostridia; Eubacteriales.
UACGUAGGGGGCAAGCGUUAUCCGGAUUUACUGGGUGUAAAGGGAGCGUAGACGGCUAAUCAAGUCAGAAGUGAAAGCCCGCAGCUCAACUGCGGGACUGCUUUUGAAACUGCCAGGCUAGAGUGUCGGAGAGGUAAGUGGAAUUCCUAGUGUAGCGGUGAAAUGCGUAGAUAUUAGGAGGAACACCAGUGGCGAAGGCAGCUUACCAGACUGAGUCUGACGCUGAUGCACGAGAGCAUGGGUAGCGAACAGG